This 253-nucleotide unclassified non-coding RNA is filed under the name uncultured Gemmatimonadaceae bacterium. RNAcentral describes it as "contains 16S-23S intergenic spacer region". It matches the Rfam family "Bacterial small subunit ribosomal RNA", at positions 524 to 776 of the family's 1533-position model. The record is from RNAcentral. Lineage: Bacteria; Pseudomonadati; Gemmatimonadota; Gemmatimonadia; Gemmatimonadales; Gemmatimonadaceae.
UACGGAGGGUGCGAGCGUUGUCCGGAAUCACUGGGCGUAAAGGGCGCGUAGGCGGCCCGGUAAGUAGGGGGUGAAAUCCCGCGGCUCAACCGCGGGGCUGCCUUCUAAACUGCCAGGCUUGAGCACAGUAGAGGCAGGUGGAAUUCCCGGUGUAGCGGUGGAAUGCGUAGAGAUCGGGAAGAACAUCGGUGGCGAAGGCGGCCUGCUGGGCUGUAGCUGACGCUGAGGCGCGACAGCGUGGGGAGCAAACAGG